RNAcentral lists this transfer RNA (73 nucleotides) under Danio rerio (zebrafish). It matches the Rfam family "tRNA". Rfam says of the family: Transfer RNA (tRNA) molecules are approximately 80 nucleotides in length. Their secondary structure includes four short double-helical elements and three loops (D, anti-codon, and T loops). Further hydrogen bonds mediate the characteristic L-shaped molecular structure. tRNAs have two regions of fundamental functional importance: the anti-codon, which is responsible for specific mRNA codon recognition, and the 3' end, to which the tRNAs corresponding amino acid is attached (by aminoacyl-tRNA synthetases). tRNAs cope with the degeneracy of the genetic code in two manners: having more than one tRNA (with a specific anti-codon) for a particular amino acid; and 'wobble' base-pairing, i.e. permitting non-standard base-pairing at the 3rd anti-codon position. The record is from Rfam by way of RNAcentral. Lineage: Eukaryota; Metazoa; Chordata; Actinopteri; Cypriniformes; Danionidae.
GCCUGGAAAGCUCAUUCGGUAGAACAUCAGACUUUUAAUCUGAGGGUCCAGAGUUUAAGUCCCUGUUCGGGCG